Molecule: long non-coding RNA, 213 nt
Organism: Harmonia axyridis
Lineage: Eukaryota; Metazoa; Arthropoda; Insecta; Coleoptera; Coccinellidae
Exons: 3
Source: RefSeq, a predicted model, not a curated record
AUGAGAAUUUUCUUCCACAAGGCCCAUCUCUGGUAUUGAAAUUUACUCUGAAGAUCUGAGAGGAUUCGCUUCCCGGCGAUUAGUUCGAAUAACUGUGGAACUUACACGAAGAAUAGCAAGAAGAUCCUUUUCCCUCGAACAACAACUGAGAGGGUCCUAGUGCCUGAUUGGAUUUGUAAUCCUAGUGCCUGGAUAUUUUUGGCAAUCCUAGUG